CAUCAGAAGAUUCUUUUCUCCUUCCUAUUUCUUCCAUGUUCUGCCAUCAUAUGCUUUGUGUUAUAGGGCACAGUCUAUAGUCCACGUAUUAACUGUGUAAUGUUCUGCUCCAUGUGACAGGCAUCCUACAUCCUGCUGCAGCGCCGCCGAAAUAUUGUCUGUUCUCUUCUUCAACACCAUGAAAUAUGAUGCGGCUGACCCUGGCAACUAUAACAACGACCGUUUUGUUCUGUCAAAGGGUCACGCUGCGCCCACUUUGUAUGCUGCAUGAGCAGAAGCCGGUCACAUCAAGGAAUCUGAGCUGCUCAACUUAAGGAAGAUAGACUGUGACCUAGAAGGACAUCCUACACCCAUAGCAACACGUAAAGCAUACGGACUGGCUCUCGCUAAACUUGGCCACGCGAGUAACAGAGUUGUCGCCCUAGAUGGUGAUACUAAAAACUCUACUUUCUCUGUGAUCUUUAAGAAUGAGCACCCUGACCGCUUCAUUGAAUGCUUUAUUGCGGAACAGAACAUGGUAAGGCCCCUUGAUCAAUGUCUUAAUG
Long non-coding RNA from Hyla sarda, 545 nucleotides. RefSeq lists it as uncharacterized. The transcript has 3 exons. The record is from RefSeq and is a predicted model, not a curated record. NCBI's taxonomy places the organism in Eukaryota, Metazoa, Chordata, Amphibia, Anura, Hylidae.